RNAcentral lists this ribosomal RNA (371 nucleotides) under uncultured bacterium. RNAcentral describes it as "bacterial SSU rRNA". It matches the Rfam family "Bacterial small subunit ribosomal RNA", at positions 527 to 896 of the family's 1533-position model. The record is from RNAcentral.
GUAGGGGGCAAGCGUUGUCCGGAUUUAUUGGGCGUAAAGAGCGUGUAGGCGGCCGUGUAGGUCUGACGUGAAAUCUGGAGGCUCAACCUCCAGCUGUCGUUGGAAACCGCUCGGCUAGAGUCCGGAAGAGGAGAGUGGAAUUCCUGGUGUAGCGGUGAAAUGCGCAGAUAUCAGGAAGAACACCUAUGGCGAAGGCAGCUCUCUGGGACGGUACUGACGCUGAGACGCGAAAGCGUGGGGAGCGAACAGGAUUAGAUACCCUGGUAGUCCACGCCGUAAACGAUGGGUGCUAGGUGUGGGCGGUGUCGACUCCGUCCGUGCCGAAGCUAACGCAUUAAGCACCCCGCCUGGGGAGUACGGCCGCAAGGCUA